RNAcentral lists this ribosomal RNA (429 nucleotides) under Verrucomicrobiota bacterium. Its description in RNAcentral is "Verrucomicrobia bacterium partial 16S ribosomal RNA". It matches the Rfam family "Bacterial small subunit ribosomal RNA", at positions 355 to 776 of the family's 1533-position model. Lineage: Bacteria; Pseudomonadati; Verrucomicrobiota. The record is from RNAcentral.
UAGGGAAUCUUCCGCAAUGGACGAAAGUCUGACGGAGCAACGCCGCGUGAGUGAAGAAGGAUUUCGGUUCGUAAAACUCUGUUGUUAGGGAAGAAAAAAUGUAUAGUAACUAUAUACAAAAGAGACGGUACCUAACCAGAAAGCCACGGCUAACUACGUGCCAGCAGCCGCGGUAAUACGUAGGUGGCAAGCGUUGCCCGGAAUUAUUGGGCGUAAAGCGCGCGCAGGUGGUUUAGAAAGUCUGAUGUGAAAGCCCACGGCUCAACCGUGGAGGGUCAUUGGAAACUAAUAAACUUGAGUGCAGGAGAGAAAAGUGGAAUUCCUAGUGUAGCGGUGAAAUGCGUAGAGAUUAGGAGGAACACCGGUGGCGAAAGCGGCUUUUUGGCCUGCAACUGACACUGAGGCGCGAAAGCGUGGGGAGCAAACAGG